CUUGAACUGUGUAUAGUGCUGGGAGCUGUGCCCUGAAAAAUAAAGAAUAUUUGUUGUAUUCUCACUACAGAUAGAGCUGGGGGCUGUGCCCUGAAGAUUAAAGCAAACUUCAUGUGCUUGGAUUGAGAAUGUGGAGACACUGUGGAUGUCUGUACCAGCUCUGUGUGAGCCCCGUGGGGCCACCCGUAGGUGAAUCCCUGGAUCCCACUAGGUGGCGACACUGCCAUGGAGAGACAUUCCCAGUACCCUUUCAUUGAGCAAAGGGAAUUUAGGAACUGUGUAUGGGGAACAACUGAUGGAAUAUCCCAUUUAUCCAGAUGAGACCGUUACAUAUAUUUGGCAAGUGACUCAAGGAGACACCCCAUUGUCAUCUGAUCCACGUUGUCUAACAAGACUGAACUCCAGCUCCCUUAAUCCACAGAAAGAUUUAUCAUCUGGGCCUUUUGGACCCGCAAGAUGGCGACCAGGAGCUCCGCAGUGCUUCUCUUAAGGGUUUUUGAUGUGCGUGUGCCAGUGGGUGCACUGAGUAUACAGCCUUAUUGCCAUGAUGGAGGAUGCCCAGAAUGACCAUUAUAAACAGAAUCUCCAUCCUGUUAUCCCAGUGUAAGAAUGCUUGUUGCAGCAGCCAUGCCCACUGGAGGAUUGUGUCUCUCACCCACAGGUCUUUUCUUACCCAUCAUCCCCUUUGGACUUAAAAUGCUGCAUAGUUAAAGUCCAGAAAGGCUUCAUCGAUCUCGCUUGCCAUCUCAGCAGGGGGUCCUUUGGGCUGGGUCAGAUUCGCUGACAGUUUGGUGAACUCCUCAUCGAAAUACCCCACAUCCUCCGGUCCAUUUAGGCUGGGUACGAACGGAGCUGUUACGUUCUUCUCGAUAAUAUCAUCCCAGACAAUGCCCUGCAAAAUAGGCACCAUAGCAAAUGCUCAUUAUUAUAGUUUCAUCAUUAGAAGCUGAGGAUAUGAAAGGACUGUAUCUCUUGGUUAAUUAUUUGGACAAUACAGAAAGGGGACUUACAUUAAAGAAUGGAUGUUCUGCUACAUCUGCGGCAUUCCCCGGGGUGGAACCUAGCCUCUCCUCAGGAUUCUUCUUCAACAGCUACAAGAAGUGAAAAUAGCCGUUACACUGAAGAAGCAGAAGCUUCAGGGAACUCAAGAGAAAGUGGUCACUGAUUAUAAUAAACUGAAAGCUCAGCGCUACUUACCUGUGAUAUGAAGCUUACUGCUUCGGAGUCCAGGGAUGAGGGGUAGUGUGGCUCAUCCUCCACGAUGGAAUCAUAUAUAAAGUCCCUGUCGUAUCCGGUGAAAGGCUUUUAAAUGGGGAUCACUGGCCCCAUCUAAAAAGCAAAAGCCUCCUCUACUGUCAUCUCUUCAGCCUGAGAAUCCUCUGGAAUGGGGCUGUAAUCGCCGGGGAGAGGACCCAUCGAUGUUUCAGAAGAGUCUUCUUCAUUCUCAGGAACUUCACUAUUGGGAAGAGGUCAUUGAGUGACAGUUCCCCUUUAUAUCUGGUGGCAAGGACUCUAAUCGUCAGGCAUGAAACAACGACUUUAUAUUUCCAUCUGUCUUACCUCAGUAUGCCGGUGCCGGUGCAGGAUGUUGCACAGUUUGGCGCCCAUC
Molecule: long non-coding RNA, 1609 nt
Organism: Xenopus laevis (African clawed frog)
Lineage: Eukaryota; Metazoa; Chordata; Amphibia; Anura; Pipidae
Exons: 8
Source: RefSeq, a predicted model, not a curated record